CUACGGGUGGCUGCAGUGAGGAAUAUUGCACAAUGGGGGGAACCCUGAUGCAGCAACGCCGCGUGGAGGAUGACGCAUUUCGGUGUGUAAACUCCUUUUAUAUGUCAAGAAAAUGACGGUAGCAUAUGAAUAAGCACCGGCUAACUCCAUGCCAGCAGCCGCGGUAAUACGGAGGGUGCAAGCGUUACUCGGAAUCACUGGGCGUAAAGGACGCGUAGGCGGGUUGGAAAGUCAGGAGUGAAAUCCUACAGCUUAACUGUAGAACUGCACUUGAAACUUCUAAUCUAGAGUAUGGGAGGGGGAGAUGGAAUUAGUGGUGUAGGGGUAAAAUCCGUAGAUAUCACUAGGAAUACCUAAAGCGAAGGCGAUCUCCUGGAACAUUACUGACGCUAAGGCGUGAAAGCGUGGGGAGCAAACAGGAUUAGAUACCCGCGUAGUC
RNAcentral lists this ribosomal RNA (439 nucleotides) under uncultured bacterium. RNAcentral's name for it is "partial 16S ribosomal RNA". It matches the Rfam family "Bacterial small subunit ribosomal RNA", at positions 339 to 795 of the family's 1533-position model. The record is from RNAcentral.